GACAGAGGGUGCAAACGUUGCUCGGAAUUACUGGGCGUAAAGGGCGCGUAGGCGGCCACCGCAAGUCGACUGUGAAAUCUCUGGGCUUAACCCAGAACGGUCAGCCGAUACUGCGGGGCUAGAGUGCAGAAGGGGCAACUGGAAUUCUCGGUGUAGCGGUGAAAUGCGUAGAUAUCGAGAGGAACACCUGCGGCGAAGGCGGGUUGCUGGGCUGACACUGACGCUGAGGCGCGAAAGCUAGGGGAGCGAACGGG
RNAcentral lists this ribosomal RNA (254 nucleotides) under uncultured bacterium. RNAcentral describes it as "partial 16S ribosomal RNA". It matches the Rfam family "Bacterial small subunit ribosomal RNA", at positions 524 to 776 of the family's 1533-position model. The record is from RNAcentral.